Molecule: ribosomal RNA, 459 nt
Filed under: uncultured bacterium
Lineage: Bacteria
Description: partial 16S ribosomal RNA
Rfam family: Bacterial small subunit ribosomal RNA
Source: RNAcentral
CCUACGGGAGGCAGCAGUGAGGAAUAUUGGUCAAUGGCCGCAGGGCUGAACCAGCCAAGUCGCGUGAGGGAUGACGGUCCUAUGGAUUGUAAACCUCUUUUGUCAGGGAGCAAAGGGCGCCACGUGUGGCGCUUUGCGAGUACCUGAAGAAAAAGCAUCGGCUAACUCCGUGCCAGCAGCCGCGGUAAUACGGAGGAUGCGAGCGUUAUCCGGAUUUAUUGGGUUUAAAGGGUGCGCAGGCGGAAUGUCAAGUCAGCGGUAAAAUUUCGGGGCUCAACCCCGUCGUGCCGUUGAAACUGGCGUUCUUGAGUGAGCGAGAAGUAUGCGGAAUGCGUGGUGUAGCGGUGAAAUGCAUAGAUAUCACGCAGAACUCCGAUUGCGAAGGCAGCAUACCGGCGCUCAACUGACGCUCAUGCACGAAAGCGUGGGUAUCGAACAGGAUUAGAUACACCAGUAGUC